GUGCUCACUUCAGCAGCACAUAUAUACUAAAAUUGGAGUCAUACAGAGAAGAUUAGCCGGCCCCUGUGCAAGGAUGACACGCAAAUUCAUGAGCGUUCCAUAUUUUU
This is a small nuclear RNA of Callithrix jacchus (white-tufted-ear marmoset), 107 nucleotides long. NCBI's taxonomy places the organism in Eukaryota, Metazoa, Chordata, Mammalia, Primates, Cebidae. The record is from Ensembl.